RNAcentral lists this ribosomal RNA (468 nucleotides) under uncultured bacterium. RNAcentral's name for it is "partial 16S ribosomal RNA". It matches the Rfam family "Bacterial small subunit ribosomal RNA", at positions 28 to 507 of the family's 1533-position model. The record is from RNAcentral.
AACGAACGCUGGCGGCGUGCUUAACACAUGCAAGUCGAACGGAAAGGCCCUGCUUUGUGGGGGUCCUCGAGUGGCGACCGGGUGAGUAACACGUGGGUAACCUGCCCUUGCCUUUGGGAUAACUUCAGAAAACUGGGGCUAUUACCGGAUAGGAGCUCCUGCUGCUGGGUGGGGGUGGGAAAGUUUCGGCGGUUGGGGAUGGACUCGCGGCUUAUCAGCUUGUUGGUGGGGUGGUGGCUUACCAAGGCUUUGACGGGUAGCCGGCCUGAGAGGGUGACCGGCCACAUUGGGACUGAGAUACGGCCCAGACUCCUACGGGAGGCAGCAGUGGGGAAUAUUGCACAAUGGGCGGAAGCCUGAUGCAGCAACGCCGCGUGCGGGAUGACGGCCUUCGGGUUGUAAACCGCUUUCGCCUGUGACGAAGCGUGAGUGACGGUAAUGGGUAAAGAAGCACCGGCUAACUACGUG